RNAcentral lists this microRNA precursor (79 nucleotides) under Aotus nancymaae (Ma's night monkey). Its description in RNAcentral is "miRNA (ENSANAG00000014376.1)". Lineage: Eukaryota; Metazoa; Chordata; Mammalia; Primates; Aotidae. The record is from RNAcentral.
UAUUAGGUUGGUGCAAAAGUGAUUGUGGAUUUUGUAAUUACGUUUAUGGCAAAAACCGCAAUUACUUUUGCACCAACCU